GGGUCGUUAGCUCAGUGGGAGAGCACCUCCUUGACGCGGAGGGGGCCGCUAGUUCAAUCCUAGCACGACCCACCA
Molecule: transfer RNA, 75 nt
Filed under: Bacillota bacterium
Lineage: Bacteria; Bacillati; Bacillota
Also listed under: 1 other name
Description: tRNA-Val
Rfam family: tRNA
About the family: Transfer RNA (tRNA) molecules are approximately 80 nucleotides in length.
Source: RNAcentral